CCAGCCCAGCCCCACAAGAACAGGAGAGAGCAGGACCUCUGCUCUCUCCACUGCUGUGUCCCCAACUAGAACAGUGUCUUAAUCAUAGCAGACGUUCACGAUUUAUUUGAAAACAAUGUGGUGGUAACCUUGAAAACCAACAUCCACAACCAUGCCGAAAACCAGCAAACUGGCAGCCACUGGAAGGAGACAGAGCAGGCAGGGCUGGAGCUCCUUCAAAGCCCCAUUCCCAGAGAACUGUCAUUAUCUGACCUGCCUGGUGGUUUCCUAGAAGACCCUACUUACCAGACACACUGCACCCCCGCAAACCUCCGGACACAUCUUCCCACCUCCACGUCCUCAUGAGUCGUGUACAUUUCCCGGAGACACUUUCCAAUGUGCGGCACCAUUCUCCGGAGAACCUCCCGGCUCAUGAUCACACCGGGCCCCCCCAUGCAGAAGUUCUCACCGGGUUCCAGGGCCAGUUUCCCCAUCUCUUCCGUGGUGCCCAGUCCUGUCUGCCCGAGAAAGAGGGGCUCACUGCUAUUCAAACUCCUCAGAAAAUUCUCCAGACGGUCUCCUUUGAUAUACACGUCAUCAUCUGCUCUCAUAAACCAUUCAUACUUGUC
Felis catus (domestic cat) is the source of this 608-nucleotide long non-coding RNA. RefSeq lists it as uncharacterized. The record is from RefSeq and is a predicted model, not a curated record. Lineage: Eukaryota; Metazoa; Chordata; Mammalia; Carnivora; Felidae. The transcript is spliced from 3 exons.